GGGCAAUGGGGAAAACCUCCACAUUCCACUGCUCUAGUGAAUGGCAAAGGCUUGGCCAGAAACCCGGCAGACUGGCAGUAUGAGGGGGAACCUUGCCACCAGCAUCGCCAGAAAGCAGGUGUAUAUCAGGUUGAUCCUCAGACCAAUUAGGAGACAAGCCAGAGGGCUUAAUCUCACGGACUCUAUAAAGUGUCCCCCCAGACUCAGUCUCCUUUCAAUCUUUCCUUGAUGAAUUAUCCCCCGAAAAGUUGCUGUAGCAAAAUCCCUUAAAAUUAUUGGCUUGAUGAGACUGAUACUAUUAAGACCAGCUGGAUUGGGCUAAAGGAUAUUCAACCAGCACUUAGAUCGGUCCUGGACAGGCAGGCCAGAGAGCACAAAGUGAACACACAGUCCUGGGUAGCAUAUUCCUCUCGAGAGUGGGGAACUUUGUAGAAAUGGUCCAGGGAGAAGGGUGUCUUUUUGAGUUGGUUGAGAACUGACACGUGGACUAUUUUCUCCUGAAGUCCCUUCCAGCCUGAUGAUUCUGCUUCCCCACCACAGAGGGCAGCGCCGUAUUACGUUCCACCCCAGAGGUCCAUCUGGAAGUACCCUGACUCACAGCUUCAUGGAACAGUCCCUUCCCCUCCUGCAGGGACCUGUUUGUGGAUGGCCCAGCAUUAGGACUGAUUUCACAAGAGGCAUCCAAACAGUGACUCUGAAGUGGGGCGGACCAGAACAGAAACCUGGAAAAGCUGUGGCCCAUUGGACCUGUCUACUGGCCACCUUCACAGGUCUCCAGGCAAGUGGGAGAAUUUACUUCUUGUCUUCCAUUUGGCUAGUCGGUUCACUGCCAAGGAGCCUGGGCUUAAUACCUUGUCACUCAGCCAGAUCAAUAACAGGACCCACUACACUACACAUGCUCCUCCCAAAAUGGCCCUGUAAAACCCAGUCCUGGUGGGAGAAAGCUGGCUUCGGUGAUCCAGGAUGAUCGACUAACUGGACCGAGGUUAGUUUUCCUACUUUUUGGAUUAAUCAAUUCAUGGUAUGUAUUGAGCACUUAUGUGGGCAGAGCACACAAUUCCUACCCUCAAAGGUUUUAUAAUCUAGUGGGGAAAGGCAUACGAUAAAAUUAAUUACAGAUGGGGGAAGCAAUAAAGUACAAGCAUAAAUCCGUAAAUGCCACGGUGGGGAGAAGGGAGAAGUGAGUACCAAAACCUUUUGGAUGCUUGUAACUAGCCUCCACUCUAAGUAGUGAGCAUUCUAUGCUCCCCACAUCCUGUCCAGGAUGUUCUUUGAAUCUACAGGCAGGGAAGUGGACUGCAGGAGAGUUGAACAUCAAGACUGUGCAAGCUGCAGGGAUCAGGGGUAGGGUCUGGCUAGGCAGUUAAGGAGUGAAGGCAAAAGAAGCCUGGCUCCAUUUUCCUCUUCAUUUUCACUCCCCACCCCUGCCCCCACCCAGCUUUUAUUUUCUCUUGCUUGUGAGCAGAAUUCUGAAAUCAAAACAAGGUAGUCAGCUAACAGGCUUUGAUUUUUCUUCCAAGGUUUCAGCGAGCCAAGGGGCAUUAAAAAUGUUUCAUUUGUUUUCAUCAAAAUAGUGACUAGGAAAAUGCGGGGUGGGGAUGACCAGGCUGUGAGGCUGGAAAGUCAGCAAUUAGAAUACCUUAAAUUAAUAUGUUGUUUUUGCUUUUCCUCAAAGUAUCUCUCUGAGAUACACAGAGACAGAUCAUAUUAUCCCUAUUUUACAAAUGAAGAAACUGGGACCCAGGUGACAAGCAAGAUAGUGGCAAAGCUGAGACACCUUGAUUCCUAGCUCUAUGUCCUUUCCCUUAGGCUACACUAGAGGACAAGGUUUGAGUGAAAAUUCCAAGUCUGGAGUGGGAGGCAGGGUUUGGGACACAGGGCAGCGGUGGGGGUUUUGUGGAGAGACUGUGGAGGCAAAGCAGGAGGGGAGCUUUAAUGGUGACACUGGGAUAGGGGAUUAGAAGGGUCAAGGGUCAUCAGGAGGAUACAAGAGAGACCUGAAGGGUCACUGAAGGCAGAGAAGGCCAAUCAGGUACCGAAUUGGGGGCAGGAGGUAGGAAGGGCCGGGAAUUAGAGGACUCUCCAGUUCCAAUGUGCCCCCAGCUGUUAGCAGGAGGGGCACUUGCUGAGCAGAAAAGCCUUUCAACAAAGUCCCCCCAGGCCCUCUGCCCAGCUGCUUCCCCCUGGAUAGCAGAAACACCAGGGCUAAUGGGGAAGGAACACAAAGCACCUCGAAGGAAAUCAAAUGCAUUCGGCUCCCACAGGUUCCUGGCACAGAGGCUUGAGGGGAGGAAGCUUCCCAGUGUGUGUGUAGGGGGGGUGAGGGCGGGAAGCUCUGCCAGGGUGUUGCUGUGGAGAUUCACCAAGGGGUGCCGCAGCCUCUAGGCUGGCUGACUGCACAAAGCUUCCCAGACAGCAGCUGCUACAGGGCUCAGUCCGGGAACUGCAGAGUCAUGGGGGAGCAGGCACAGAGUGGCAGGGCAGGACUGCCAACAAGCUGCCUGUGGGGGCCAAAACGGGGGUGUGCCCAGCCAGCAGGUGCUGAGCGGAGUCCUAAGGAGAUGAGUGGAGAACAGUCCCCUUGUCCUGAGGUCAUUUUGGGAUUGAUCCGGGCCAAUUUUUCCAAUGGGGAAGGGAUGUGUGUGUGUUUGUGUGUGCGUGUGUAAGUGCGCGCACACAGGUUUGGGUACCAAGAGGACAAUCCACCAAAUCUCCAGGCCAGCGUGCCAGCGACUCUUCAUACGAACAGGACGUGGGAUGUCAUGAGGGAAAAUAAGCCACACUGAAUUAGUCAUAAGGGUAAUGAGAUUGCUGCAGUGGAACUUGGCAAGAAAGACAUUGCCUCCAGCUCUUCCCAAGAUCACCACACGCAGAUCCUGGGAGAAAGACACUUGCUCAGUCAGCUGUAGGCAUGGAAAAAACACCUCCAGUUUCCCCGGCCCCCGGCGGGGUCUGGGAGCCAUUUAGUGGGUGGGCAGGGCUGUCAGAUUCUGAUUGUGAUCUAGAAUCGCUGGCACUGCCACAAAUGGUUCAAUUUCUUCUUUUUUCUUGUUUCCUUUUAACCUCAUGUCAUUCAAGAAGUGACGCCAAACCCUUUCCCGUCUCCGAAAAACCUCAGAGAAAUUACUUCCAGCCUAGUGAAGUCCUGUGGAAGCCAAGAGCCAACGCCCUAGCUCUCUGUGAGGAAAGUAAAAUGUGGGGGGAGUGAAUAAGGGGUAAGAAAGAGGGAGGCAGGAGGAGGAGGACUCCUACUCUCCCUCCUUUUUCCCCUCCUCUCCAUCCACCAUCUCUUCUAUUAUGUCCUGAAUAAUGGGCCCUCACUCUCUGAGUGGUACCUAGUAAAUCCAACUUUCAUCUUUCAAUCCUCCCUGCUUGCCCUCACGUACAGCUCAAAAGGGGAGAAGGAGGCAGGGUGAACCCUUAUCGGACAUGGUAAGAGCCUGGGUCUGUGAGGA
This 3455-nucleotide long non-coding RNA is filed under the name Ornithorhynchus anatinus (platypus). Its description in RNAcentral is "lncRNA (ENSOANG00000047745.1)". Lineage: Eukaryota; Metazoa; Chordata; Mammalia; Monotremata; Ornithorhynchidae. The record is from RNAcentral.